This 273-nucleotide ribosomal RNA is filed under the name uncultured bacterium. RNAcentral describes it as "partial 16S ribosomal RNA". It matches the Rfam family "Bacterial small subunit ribosomal RNA", at positions 524 to 796 of the family's 1533-position model. The record is from RNAcentral.
UACGUAGGGUGCGAGCGUUGUCCGGAAUUAUUGGGCGUAAAGGGCUCGUAGGCGGUUUGUCGCGUCGGGAGUGAAAACCUCGGGCUUAACUCGGGGCUUGCUUUCGAUACGGGCAGACUGGAGGUAUGCAGGGGAGAACGGAAUUCCUGGUGUAGCGGUGAAAUGCGCAGAUAUCAGGAGGAACACCGGUGGCGAAGGCGGUUCUCUGGGCAUGACCUGACGCUGAGGAGCGAAAGUGUGGGGAGCGAACAGGAUUAGAUACCCCCGUAGUCC